UACGGAGGUGCAAGCGUUGUUCGGAAUCACUGGGCGUAAAGGGCGCGCAGGCGGCCUGAUUAGUCAGAUGUGAAAGCCCACGGCUUAACUGUGGAAGUGCAUUUGAAACUGUCAGGCUUGAGUACCAGAGGGGAAAGUGGAAUUCCCGGUGUAGAGGUGAAAUUCGUAGAUAUCGGGAGGAAUACCGGUGGCGAAGGCGACUUUCUGGCUGGAUACUGACGCUGAGGCGCGAAAGCGUUGGGGAGGCAAACAGGAUUAGAUACCCGCGUA
This 270-nucleotide ribosomal RNA is filed under the name uncultured prokaryote. RNAcentral describes it as "partial 16S ribosomal RNA". It matches the Rfam family "Bacterial small subunit ribosomal RNA", at positions 524 to 792 of the family's 1533-position model. The record is from RNAcentral.